CCUACGGGUGGCUGCAGUGGGGAAUAUUGGACAAUGGGCGAAAGCCUGAUCCAGCCAUGCCGCGUGUGUGAAGAAGGCCUUCGGGUUGUAAAGCACUUUCAGUGGGGAAGAAAGCCUUGGGGCUAAUACCCUCGAGGAAGGACAUCACCCACAGAAGAAGCACCGGCUAACUCCGUGCCAGCAGCCGCGGUAAUACGGAGGGUGCGAGCGUUAAUCGGAAUUACUGGGCGUAAAGCGCGCGUAGGCGGUCUGAUAAGCCGGUUGUGAAAGCCCCGGGCUCAACCUGGGAACGGCAUCCGGAAAUGUUAAGCUUAGGGGCCGGAGAGGAAAGGUGGAAUCCCGGGGUUGCGGGGAAAAUCGGUGAGGUUGGGGGGAAAACCAGUGGCCAAGGCGGCCCUUCGGACUGAAACCGAAGGUGGGGGGGGAAAGCGUUGGUAGCAAACAGGAUUAGAUACCCCGGUAGUC
RNAcentral lists this ribosomal RNA (465 nucleotides) under Vreelandella stevensii. Its description in RNAcentral is "partial 16S ribosomal RNA". It matches the Rfam family "Bacterial small subunit ribosomal RNA", at positions 338 to 795 of the family's 1533-position model. Lineage: Bacteria; Pseudomonadati; Pseudomonadota; Gammaproteobacteria; Oceanospirillales; Halomonadaceae. The record is from RNAcentral.